CAUUCAGCUGGUUCUAUCCGGUUCAAGUGAACCGGUAGCGGCGGCUGUGGGAGGCUCGUCCCAUUUUUGACCCUCUGAGCAUGCGUGGAGGUGGUGCAUGCACUCACAUUUGUGAACUGGUAGUGAAGGAAAGCCAUCAUUGAAGCAUCAGUGGGAAUAUACAUAAAACGUACAAAACUUUGACUACUCACUACUCUGAGGACACAGAUAAACCUCCUAUGAUGCUCUAAAAGAAUGCAAAUGACCAGCUGUCUGCAAGGAGCAUCAAUCUUUCCAUUCCCCACCAUCCAAUGAGAGCUGAAGAAGCUUCUUGGACAAGAAGUGAAACAUCUUCAAAGAAAAACAAGAAAGUCCAGUUGCCUCUUGAAAAAGCACCUUUGGGACAACCAAGACCUGGAUGAUUGAGAAGCUCCAUAGACACCAAGAGAGAAUGUUCAUCCUAAAAAGAUAGGCAGAUUGUAAAAGUGGAAGUUAUUUUUCAUUAUGUCUCCUCAUGCCCCAACUUUGAAGACUUGAGUAACGCUUCUGCUUGAAUACUAGCUCACUAACAUUGCGCACAGGGUGAACACAGAAAGCUCCACUACUAAGGAACUCAAGUGACAUGGCUAUCAAAAUCUAUAAACUAUUGCAGUAAAACAGUAA
Non-coding RNA from Pantherophis guttatus, 642 nucleotides. The record is from RefSeq and is a predicted model, not a curated record. Lineage: Eukaryota; Metazoa; Chordata; Lepidosauria; Squamata; Colubridae.